Molecule: ribosomal RNA, 324 nt
Filed under: uncultured eukaryote
Lineage: Eukaryota
Description: partial 18S ribosomal RNA
Rfam family: Eukaryotic small subunit ribosomal RNA
Source: RNAcentral
CCCUUAGAUGUUCUGGGCAGCACGCGCGCUACAAUGGUCUUCGCAAACGGAUGCAUUCUCGAAGGAGAAUGCCAAUCUUGGAAUCUAUGCCUUGGUCGGGACAGUUGCUUGCAAUUUUUCGACUCGAACCAGGAAUUCCUUGUAAUCGUGAUUCAUCACAUCACGAUGAAUACGUCCCUGCCCUUUGUACACACCGCCCGUCGCUCCUACCGAUUGAAUGAUCCGAUGAAUACCAUGGAUUGAGAGUUCGAAUAGGUUCGCCUAUUUCAGCUUCUCGAGAAGUGGAGUAAAUCUUAUCAUUUAGAGGAAGGAGAAGUCGUAACA